RNAcentral lists this ribosomal RNA (457 nucleotides) under Leptuca deichmanni. RNAcentral describes it as "partial 16S ribosomal RNA". It matches the Rfam family "Bacterial large subunit ribosomal RNA", at positions 1859 to 2562 of the family's 2925-position model. Lineage: Eukaryota; Metazoa; Arthropoda; Malacostraca; Decapoda; Ocypodidae. The record is from RNAcentral.
CUGCCCACUGAUAAAUUUCAAGGGCCGCAGUAAUCUGACUGUGCAAAGGUAGCAUAAUCGUUAGUUUUUUAAUUGGAAUCUUGUAUGAAUGGUUGAACAAAAAAAUAUCUGUCUCUAUAUUUUUAUUUGAAUUUAACUUUUAAGUGAAAAGGCUUAGAUAUAUUUGAAAGACGAUAAGACCCUAUAAAGCUUUAUAAAUAUUUUUAUUUAAUUACAUUUUUUUAUAAAAAUUAAUUAACAAAGAUUUAUUUUGUUGGGGCGACAAUGAUAUAAUGUUUAUUAACUGUUUAUAAAAUAAACAAAUAUAAUUGACUUACAAAUCUUAAUGAUCCUUUUAUAAAGAUUAAAAAUUUAAGUUACUUUAGGGAUAACAGCGUUAUUUUUCUUGAGAGUUCUUAUCGAAAGAAAAGUUUGCGACCUCGAUGUUGAAUUAAAAUUUCUUUAUAGUUGCAGAAGU